UACGGAAGGCAGCAGUGGGGAAUAUUGCACAAUGGGCGCAAGCCUGAUGCAGCCAUGCCGCGUGUAUGAAGAAGGCCUUCGGGUUGUAAAGUACUUUCAGCGGGGAAGGAAGGCGGUGAAGUUAAUAGCUUCACCGAUUGACGUUACCCGCAGAAGAAGCACCGGCUAACUCCGUGCCAGCAGCCGCGGUAAUACGGAGGGUGCAAGCGUUAAAUCGGAAUUACUGGGCGUUAAAAGCGCACGCAGGCGGUCUGUCAAGUCGGAAUGUGAAAUCCCCGGGCUUAACCUGGGAACUGCAUUCGAAACUGGCAGGCUAGAGUCUUGUAGAGGGGGUAGAAUUCCAGGUGUAGCGGUGAAAUGCGUAGAGAUCUGGAGGAAUAACCGGUGGCGAAGGCGGCCCCCUGGGACAAAGACUGACGCGUCAGGUGCGAAAAGCGUGGGGAGCAAACAGGGAUUAGAUACC
This 463-nucleotide ribosomal RNA is filed under the name uncultured bacterium. Its description in RNAcentral is "bacterial SSU rRNA". It matches the Rfam family "Bacterial small subunit ribosomal RNA", at positions 340 to 786 of the family's 1533-position model. The record is from RNAcentral.